Molecule: ribosomal RNA, 253 nt
Filed under: uncultured bacterium
Lineage: Bacteria
Description: partial 16S ribosomal RNA
Rfam family: Bacterial small subunit ribosomal RNA
Source: RNAcentral
UACGUAGGUGGCGAGCGUUGUCCGGAUUUACUGGGCGUAAAGGGAGCGUAGGCGGACUUUUAAGUGAGAUGUGAAAUACUCGGGCUCAACUUGAGUGCUGCAUUUCAAACUGGAAGUCUAGAGUGCAGGAGAGGAGAAUGGAAUUCCUAGUGUAGCGGUGAAAUGCGUAGAUAUUAGGAGGAACACCAGUGGCGAAGGCGGCCUGCUGGACAGUAACUGACGUUGAGGCUCGAAAGCGUGGGGAGCAAACAGG